UCCUAGAAGUCAAUAUGAUUGACAUAUUAUAAUAACAUUAGGACACAAUUUUAUACUUAAAAUAUUAAUUUGAUCAAUAAAAAGAUAAAUUUAUUUUUAUUCAAGUAUGAUGUGCUCUUGCAUCGUCCAUGAAAUUAAUACUUAUGAUACAUAUUCUCAAAGUAUUGAGAAUUAGAGACAUAUAUUAUUAAUUCCUAAAUUGCUCUCGGUCAUAGUAUCAUUAUGAGGAUAGUGAUUAAUCCAGAU
This 246-nucleotide long non-coding RNA is filed under the name Elaeis guineensis (African oil palm). Its description in RNAcentral is "long non-coding RNA (EGUI_LNC016911)". The record is from RNAcentral. Lineage: Eukaryota; Viridiplantae; Streptophyta; Magnoliopsida; Arecales; Arecaceae.